AGGACGAACGCUGGCGGCGUGCUUAACACAUGCAAGUCGAGCGGUAAGGCCCUUUCGGGGGUACACGAGCGGCGAACGGGUGAGUAACACGUGAGCAAUCUGCCCUUCACUUCGGGAUAAGCCUCGGAAACGGGGUCUAAUACCGGAUAUGACUGCGCUACGCAUGU
RNAcentral lists this ribosomal RNA (167 nucleotides) under uncultured soil bacterium. Its description in RNAcentral is "partial 16S ribosomal RNA". It matches the Rfam family "Bacterial small subunit ribosomal RNA", at positions 26 to 193 of the family's 1533-position model. The record is from RNAcentral.